Molecule: ribosomal RNA, 440 nt
Filed under: uncultured bacterium
Lineage: Bacteria
Description: partial 16S ribosomal RNA
Rfam family: Bacterial small subunit ribosomal RNA
Source: RNAcentral
CCUACGGGUGGCAGCAGUGGGGGAUAUUGCACAAUGGGGGAAACCCUGAUGCAGCGACGCCGCGUGUGGGAAGACGGUCCUCUGGAUUGUAAACCACUGUCCCCAGGGACGAAGAUGACGGUACCUGGGGAGGAAGCGCCGGCUAACUACGUGCCAGCAGCCGCGGUAAGAGGGAGGGUGCGAGCGUAGCCCGGAAUUACUGGGUGGAAAGGGAGCGGAGGAGGGACUGCAAGUUGGGUGUCAAAUCUACCGGCUCAACCGGUAGCCGCACUCCAAACUGCGGUUCUUGAGUGAAGUAGAGGCAGGCGGAAUUCCUAGUGUAGCGGUGAAAUGCGUAGAUAUUAGGAGGAACACCAGUGGCGAAGGCGGCCUGCUGGGCUUUUACUGACGCUGAGGCUCGAAAGUGUGGGGAGCAAACAGGAUUAGAUACCCCGGUAGUC